Molecule: ribosomal RNA, 497 nt
Filed under: uncultured bacterium
Lineage: Bacteria
Description: partial 16S ribosomal RNA
Rfam family: Bacterial small subunit ribosomal RNA
Source: RNAcentral
GAUGAACGCUGGCGGCGUGCCUAAUACAUGCAAGUCGAGCGAACGGACGAGAAGCUUGCUUCUCUGAUGUUAGCGGCGGACGGGUGAGUAACACGUGGAUAACCUACCUAUAAGACUGGGAUAACUUCGGGAAACCGUAGCUAAUACCGGAUAAUAUUUUGAACCGCAUGGUUCAAAAGUGAAAGACGGUCUUGCUGUCACUUAUAGAUGGAUCCGCGCUGCAUUAGCUAGUUGGUAAGGUAACGGCUUACCAAGGCAACGAUGCAUAGCCGACCUGAGAGGGUGGUCCGCCACACUGGGACUUGGACACGGUCCAGAACCCUAAGGGAGGCCGGAGUAGGGAAUCCUCCCGAAUGGGCGAAAGCCUGAAGGAGCAAACCCGCGUGAGUGAAGAAGGGUUUCGGAUCGUAAAACUCUGUUAUUAGGGAAGAACAUAUGUGUAAGUAACUGUGCACAUCUUGACGGUACCUAAUCAGAAAGCCACGGCUAACUACGUG